UUACUCUGAUGGCCAUCUUGACAGCCUCCUUCUUUAUGGUAGGAUUAGAAUUCUACCAAUUCGAGCUCUAGCCAGGCUUGAAGGUUCUCUCCCUUUAGAGUGGCUAUUUCCUUGUGGUCGAUCUUUUAUAGGUUAAUUGAUCCCAUUACAGUGCUCAAAUCAACCAAUUUUUAUCUUUGUAGUUUAGUUUGCAUUCACGAUUCCAGCCCUUCAAUGAACAUAAAGAGCUUAUCAUUUUUGACAUGUCUCAAAUAUUUACCAUGUGUAGUUAAAAGGUUUUAUCCUAUUUCCCGAUUGAUCCUAUAUGCUUCAGAUUUCGAAGUACCGUCAAGCCUGAUAUUCUACAUUUUUGAAGAAAACUUUGGUUCAAUCGCCUCCUCGAGAUGAUACCAAGGUAGUCGCAAGAAAGUAUUGUUCCACAUCAGAUAGGAAAUUCUCGGCUUCCAUUGGAUUGCACACCCGUCUUUAAGUAUGCAGUUACGGGAUUCUGAGCUUAGAUCGAGAAUAAUUGCAAUAUUAUCAAUCAUCCUUGCGUAAGCCAUUCGGCUUUAAUUCAGCUAGAUGUGUAAUUCGUGAAUCUUCAUUUCAGCCACCUUUAGAAGUUAGUAUUCAAGUUAGAAGAAGCAAUAAACAGUACAUGGUAUAGGGUGAUGCACGUGCUGGCUGGAGUUUGCUAUAAGAAAAACAAAUAAGGUUAUUCCUUUCAGUUUUUGUUAGGAAAAAACUAAUGUUUUACAGUGGUAUUAAUGUUUUAAAUUUGAUUAUUCGUACUUUGGAAUGCCA
Olea europaea var. sylvestris is the source of this 783-nucleotide long non-coding RNA. RefSeq lists it as uncharacterized. The transcript has 3 exons. The record is from RefSeq and is a predicted model, not a curated record. Lineage: Eukaryota; Viridiplantae; Streptophyta; Magnoliopsida; Lamiales; Oleaceae.